AUUGAACGCUGGCGGCAGGCCUAACACAUGCAAGUCGAACGAGUGGCGGACGGGUGAGUAAUGUCUGGGAAACUGCCUGAUGGAGGGGGAUAACGACUGGAAACGGUAGCUAAUACCGCUUACCAUCAGAUGGGCCCAGGUGGGAUUAGCUAGUUGGUGGGGUAACGGCUCACCAAGGCGACGAUCCCUAGCGGGUCUGAGAGGAUGACCGGCCACACUGGAACUGAGACACGGUCCAGACUCCUACGGGAGGCAGCAGUGGGGAAUCUUGCACAAUGGGCGCAAGCCUGAUGCAGCAAUGCCGCGUGUAUGAAGAAGGUCUUCGGGUUGUAAAGUACUUUUAGCGGGGAGGCGUUACCCGCAGAAGAAGCACCGGCUAACUCCGUGCCAGCCGCCGCGGUAAUUC
This 406-nucleotide ribosomal RNA is filed under the name uncultured bacterium. RNAcentral describes it as "partial 16S ribosomal RNA". It matches the Rfam family "Bacterial small subunit ribosomal RNA", at positions 30 to 526 of the family's 1533-position model. The record is from RNAcentral.